GUACUCUGGGGAUAAGAAGUGAAUAGAACAUAUUUAAGUUCUGGGGGACUCAAUCUGAAGAAGAAAGCAGAUACGGAAAUAAAACAGUGGAAUCACUUGCAGAGGAAACACAAGGAAAUGCUUAUAAUUUUUUCCUGGGGAGGUGAGGGAAGGCAUUUGGGGAAAGAAAAUGCCCGAUAUUAUCCUUGAAACAUGGAUUAGAACUGAACAGGGAAUCUAGUCCUAGAAGUCCCAAGACAGAGACAACAGCAAAUACUAAGUGCAGAGAGGUACCAUGUGAAGGCCUGGGCAUAUAACAUGAAACAAGAAAGAUAAGGCCCGUGCUUACAUAGAACUUGGUGAAGAAUCUAGACCAUAACAAGCACACAGAGAAAACGUAUCACAAAUUGUGCUAAAGUUCUGUAAAGGGAUUAAGAUGAAGUGUCACAAGACUGAAUUAGACAGAGUGCCCUUGAAAGAGUGCCAAUUUUUAGAAUGGAGGGUGUAGAUCCAUCCUUUGCAACUGGUGAGGACCUCCUCAGUAAGGCACUGAGCCAGGAGUCUAUACAGCCAUGCCAGCAGGGAGCACUGUCUUUCAUUGUCUGAUGUUUAUUGCAAACCUGUUCUUUUCAGCUUUUUGUUGUUUCAGAAUUGUUUCUUUCAGUAGAAAGCAGGAAAGAUCACAACAGUUGCAGAGUUACUACAUCAAGAGGCUUCUACUCCCCAAGGGAGGAACUGGAUAAAUCUAAGAACUGCACAAUGUUAACUCACAAAGAAGAAUUAAAAACAGAAGACGUUUUCCUACGUAACAAACCUGCACAUCCUGCACAUGUAUCCUGGAACUUAAAAUAAAAUAAAAUAAAAUUUUUAAAAAGAAUAAAUAAAUAGCAGCCUAGUCCAAAGACGUUUACAUCCUGGAAGAGAACUUGCUGGCUUUUCACCUCAGCAUGUAUGGGCCAAACUAAUAUAACAAGAAGUCUUGAGAGGAGUCAGCGGCCAAGCUCCAUGUCUUGCAGCCAAACAAUGCUGUGGGAUGGAAGGUGGGAUGUCAUGUGUCUGGUUUACAGCACUCACGUAUCAGUUGGCAGUUAACGGAAGUGCUACUGAUUGUAACAGUGGAAGCAAUUUGAAAUGAAAUACAACACUUAAAGCAAAUGAAACGGAAGUGAAUGCCAGCAGUAAAUGGCAAGAAGAAAUCCAGUUCAGUGUGUUCCUCAGAAAUCUUGCCUCUUGGGACUAAAUGCUGCAAAUGUAACUCUUAUCCUUGUUUUUCAAGUUUUACCAUCUCAAAGCUAUCCACUUUAUAUUAAAUUAGUUCUGUUAUAUUAUGUCAAUUUGUAUUCUUAAGAGCACAAGUUUGGCCUCAAAUAGACCUGAGCUGAGAUCCAAUUCUUUAAUUUAUCUGUGUUGUUUUCUUUUUCCUUAGCUUUAAAGUGGAAAAAAUGCUACUUACAUUUUAUUUAUGAAGGUUAAAGAUAAAGUGUCUGAUAUGGGACCUAUCAUAUGUGGUAGGCACUUAGUACAUGGUAGCAAUUAUGAUUAUUAUAUCUGAUAUUAGCAUUAUUAUUAUGAUUUGUUUUAAUCUUCAAAGUAUCAACUGUUUCUAUUACAUUUGUGGUAAAUACUCCUAAACAGAGUUUUUAAGUUCAAGUGUCCAAAGUUGUUAGAAACAAAGAUAUUUGACAAUAACAUAAUCAUAUCACAUGACCUCAUGAUUUAACCACCUCCCAAAGUUGCCACCUCCUAAUAUUAUCACCUUGGGGGUGAGGUUUCAACAUAUGAAUUUUAGAGGAACAUAAACAUUCAGACCAUAGCAAUAAUGAAGAUAAAGAGUUUAUUCAUAGAUAAAUGUUAAGAAGUAGAUACUGUUUGUUAGGAGAAGUGUCCACAGUUAGGGAGAAGUUAGAGGUCUGGUGUCAUCUUUGAUUUUUGUGUUUCUUCCGGAACCCUGUUGCCUGGCUUCCUACACUAUUUCUUGUGUCUUUUUCUUGUAGCUAAACUUGAACAUUUUUUCCUUGAGUACCAUUUUACAAUCAACUGUGCUUUUAUGCAGUGGACUUUCACUGAAUGUCCCCUAUUGGAAAUUUUAACAACAAUUUAACAACUAUUUAUUUGAUACUUUCUGUAUAACCAAUAUUAUUGAACAUCCUAGGAACACAUACAUAAAUAAAACUUGA
RNAcentral lists this long non-coding RNA (2156 nucleotides) under Homo sapiens (human). RNAcentral describes it as "HSALNT0085061". The record is from RNAcentral. Lineage: Eukaryota; Metazoa; Chordata; Mammalia; Primates; Hominidae.